Molecule: ribosomal RNA, 417 nt
Filed under: uncultured bacterium
Lineage: Bacteria
Description: bacterial SSU rRNA
Rfam family: Bacterial small subunit ribosomal RNA
Source: RNAcentral
UCAGCACGGGGGCAACCCUGGUGGCGAGUGGCGAACGGGUGAGUAAUAUAUCGGAACGUGCCCUAGAGUGGGGGAUAACGUAGCGAAAGUUACGCUAAUACCGCAUACGAUCUACGGAUGAAAGUGGGGGAUCGCAAGACCUCAUGCUCGUGGAGCGGCCGAUAUCUGAUUAGCUAGUUGGUAGGGUAAAAGCCUACCAAGGCAUCGAUCAGUAGCUGGUCUGAGAGGACGACCAGCCACACUGGGACUGAGACACGGCCCAGACUCCUACGGGAGGCAGCAGUGGGGAAUUUUGGACAAUGGGGGCAACCCUGAUCCAGCGAUGCCGCGUGAGUGAAGAAGGCCUUCGGGUUGUAAAGCUCUUUUGUCAGGGAAGAAACGGUUUGGGCUAAUACCCUGGACUAAUGACGGUACCUG